ACGCUCGACACCUACGGGGGGCAGCAGUAGGGAAUCUUCCACAAUGGACGCAAGUCUGAUGGAGCAACGCCGCGUGAGUGAAGAAGGUUUUCGGAUCGUAAAGCUCUGUUGUUGGUGAAGAAGGAUAGAGGUAGUAACUGGCCUUUAUUUGACGGUAAUCAACCAGAAAGUCACGGCUAACUACGUGCCAGCAGCUGCGGUAAUCUGAGCGGGCUGGCAAGGC
RNAcentral lists this ribosomal RNA (223 nucleotides) under uncultured bacterium. RNAcentral describes it as "partial 16S ribosomal RNA". It matches the Rfam family "Bacterial small subunit ribosomal RNA", at positions 328 to 539 of the family's 1533-position model. The record is from RNAcentral.